This 497-nucleotide ribosomal RNA is filed under the name uncultured bacterium. RNAcentral describes it as "partial 16S ribosomal RNA". It matches the Rfam family "Bacterial small subunit ribosomal RNA", at positions 29 to 507 of the family's 1533-position model. The record is from RNAcentral.
AAUGAACGCUGGCGGCAUGCCUAAUACAUGCAAGUCGAGCGACAGCACGAUAAGCGUUCUUCUCUACUGUUAGCGGCGGACGGAUGAGUAACAAGUGGAUCACCUACCUCUAAGUCUGGGAUAAAAACGUGAAACCAGAGCUGAUACUAGAUAAUAUUUUGAACGGCAUGCUUCAAAAGUGAUAGACGGUCUUCCCGUCACUAAUAGAUGGUUCCGCGCUGGAUUAGCUAGUUGGUAAGGUAACGGCUUACCAAGGCUACGAUGCGUAGCUGACCUGAGAGGGUGAUCGGCCACACUGGAACUGAGACACGGUCCAGACUCCUACGGGAGGCAGCAGUGGGGAAUCUUCGGCAAUGGGCGCAAGCCUGAUGCAGCAACGCCGCGUGAGUGAAGAAGGUCUUCGGGUCGUAAAACUCUUUUGUUAGGAAAGAAAAGAUGUGGAAGAAACUCCGGACAUCUUGACGGUACCUAAAGAAAAAGCAACGGCUAACUACGUG